GAUGAAGAACGCAGCGAAAUGCGAUAAGUAAUGUGAAUUGCAGAAUUCAGUGAAUCAUCGAGUCUUUGAACGCACAUUGCGCCCCCUGGUAUUCCGGGGGGCAUGCCUGUCCGAGCGUCAUUGCUGCCCUCAAGCACGGCUUGUGUGUUGGGCCCCCGUCCCCGGUUUCCCCCGGGGGCGGGCCCGAAAGGCAGCGGCGGCACCGCGUCCGGUCCUCGAGCGUAUGGGGCUUUGUCACCCGCUCUGUAGGCCCGGCCGGCGCCAGCCGACACCCAACUUUAUUUCUAAGGUUGACCUCGGAUCAGGUAGGGAUACCCGCUGAACUUAAGCAUAUCAAUAAGCGGAGGA
Molecule: unclassified non-coding RNA, 348 nt
Filed under: soil metagenome
Description: partial contains 5.8S ribosomal RNA, internal transcribed spacer 2, and large subunit ribosomal RNA
Rfam family: 5.8S ribosomal RNA (bases 1-120)
Source: RNAcentral